Molecule: ribosomal RNA, 497 nt
Filed under: uncultured bacterium
Lineage: Bacteria
Description: partial 16S ribosomal RNA
Rfam family: Bacterial small subunit ribosomal RNA
Source: RNAcentral
GAUGAACGCUGGCGGCGUGCCUAAUACAUGCAAGUCGAGCGAACAGACGAGGAGCUUGCUCCUCUGACGUUAGCGGCGGACGGGUGAGUAACACGUGGAUAACCUACCUAUAAGACUGGGAUAACUUCGGGAAACCGGAGCUAAUACCGGAUAAUAUAUUGAACCGCAUGGUUCAAUAGUGAAAGACGGUUUUGCUGUCACUUAUAGAUGGAUCCGCGCCGCAUUAGCUAGUUGGUAAGGUAACGGCUUACCAAGGCAACGAUGCGUAGCUGACCUGAGGGGGUGAUCGGCCACACUGGAACUGAGACACCAGCCAGACGCCGACGGGAGGCAGCAGUAGGGAAUCUUCCGCAAUGGGCGAAAGCCUGACGGAGCGACGCCACGUGAGUGAUGAAGGUCUUCGGAUCGUAAAACUCUGUUAUUAGGGAAGAACAAAUGUGUAAGUAACUAUGCACGUCUUGACGGUACCUAAUCAGAAAGCCCCGGCUAACUACGUG